GAUGAACGCUAGCUACAGGCUUAACACAUGCAAGUCGAGGGGAAACGGCAUCGAAAGCUUGCUUUUGAUGGGCGUCGACCGGCGCACGGGUGAGUAACGCGUAUCCAACCUGCCCAUCACUUGGGAAUAACCUUGCGAAAGUAAGACUAAUGCCCAAUGACAUCCCACGAAGGCAUCCGAAUGGGAUUAAAGAUUUAUCGGUGAUGGAUGGGGAUGCGUCUGAUUAGCUUGUUGGCGGGGUGACGGCCCACCAAGGCAACGAUCAGUAGGGGUUCUGAGAGGAAGGUCCCCCACAUUGGAACUGAGACACGGUCCAAACUCCUACGGGAGGCAGCAGUGAGGAAUAUUGGUCAAUGGGCGAGAGCCUGAACCAGCCAAGUAGCGUGCAGGAGGACGGCCCUAUGGGUUGUAAACUGCUUUUAUAAGGGAAUAAAGUGGGUCACGUGUGACUUUUUGCAUGUACCUUAUGAAUAAGAACUGGCUAAUUCCGUG
This 492-nucleotide ribosomal RNA is filed under the name uncultured bacterium. RNAcentral's name for it is "partial 16S ribosomal RNA". It matches the Rfam family "Bacterial small subunit ribosomal RNA", at positions 28 to 507 of the family's 1533-position model. The record is from RNAcentral.